UGUUUAUCACGUUCGCCUAACUAGUAAAACUCUUAUGAGGCCUGACUGGUCACAGGCUAAAUUCCCAGCAUCAGGACAAGAUGCGUCUCCCCAUCGAAAUGGAAUCUAUCACACUGGGAUUUCAACAAGUUUGCCAUAUGGACUGCAACCUGCAAACCGUCAGACCAGCCGCAACCUCCAUCACCACAUCAGUCCCAAUCCAAACCAAGGAAAAACAUGGUUCCUGACUUCAUGGAAGGCACAUCCAUCAGAGAAGACAGACACUAAACAAGUAAACAGUUUUUCUCUGGCACCCGGGACCCAGGCCUUCGCUCCAGCC
Molecule: long non-coding RNA, 319 nt
Organism: Myotis daubentonii (Daubenton's bat)
Lineage: Eukaryota; Metazoa; Chordata; Mammalia; Chiroptera; Vespertilionidae
Exons: 3
Source: RefSeq, a predicted model, not a curated record